This 842-nucleotide ribosomal RNA is filed under the name uncultured bacterium. RNAcentral describes it as "bacterial SSU rRNA". It matches the Rfam family "Bacterial small subunit ribosomal RNA", at positions 29 to 870 of the family's 1533-position model. The record is from RNAcentral.
UUGAACGCUGGCGGCAUGCUUUACACAUGCAAGUCGAACGGCAGCGCGGGGCAACCUGGCGGCGAGUGGCGAACGGGUGAGUAAUAUAUCGGAACGUACCCAAGAGUGGGGGAUAACGUAGCGAAAGUUACGCUAAUACCGCAUACGAUCUCAGGAUGAAAGCAGGGGACCGCAAGGCCUUGUGCUCCUGGAGCGGCCGAUAUCUGAUUAGCUAGUUGGUGAGGUAAAGGCUCACCAAGGCGACGAUCAGUAGCUGGUCUGAGAGGACGACCAGCCACACUGGAACUGAGACACGGUCCAGACUCCUACGGGAGGCAGCAGUGGGGAAUUUUGGACAAUGGGCGCAAGCCUGAUCCAGCAAUGCCGCGUGAGUGAAGAAGGCCUUCGGGUUGUAAAGCUCUUUUGUCAGGGAAGAAACGGUCGAGGCUAAUACCUUCGGCUAAUGACGGUACCUGAAGAAUAAGCACCGGCUAACUACGUGCCAGCAGCCGCGGUAAUACGUAGGGUGCAAGCGUUAAUCGGAAUUACUGGGCGUAAAGCGUGCGCAGGCGGUUUUGUAAGUCUGAUGUGAAAUCCCCGGGCUCAACCUGGGAAUUGCAUUGGAGACUGCAAGGCUAGAAUCUGGCAGAGGGGGGUAGAAUUCCACGUGUAGCAGUGAAAUGCGUAGAGAUGUGGAGGAACACCGAUGGCGAAGGCAGCCCCCUGGGUCAAGAUUGACGCUCAUGCACGAAAGCGUGGGGAGCAAACAGGAUUAGAUACCCUGGUAGUCCACGCCCUAAACGAUGUCUACUAGUUGUCGGGUUUUAAUUAACUUGGAACGCAGCUAACGCGUGAAGUAGACC